This 524-nucleotide ribosomal RNA is filed under the name uncultured Acidobacteriota bacterium. Its description in RNAcentral is "bacterial SSU rRNA". It matches the Rfam family "Bacterial small subunit ribosomal RNA", at positions 355 to 897 of the family's 1533-position model. Lineage: Bacteria; Pseudomonadati; Acidobacteriota. The record is from RNAcentral.
UGGGGAAUCUUGCACAAUGGGGGAAACCCUGAUGCAGCGACGCCGCGUGAGCGAUGAAGCCCUUCGGGGUGUAAAGCUCUUUCGGCAGGGACGAUAAUGACGGUACCUGAAGAAGAAGCUGCGGCUAACUACGUGCCAGCAGCCGCGGUAAUACGUAGGCAGCGAGCGUUGUUCGGAGUUACUGGGCGUAAAGCGUGCGUAGGCGGUGGCCCAAGUCUGGUGUGAAAUCUCCCGGCUCAACCGGGAGGGUGCGCCGGAAACUGGGUCGCUCGAGUACUGGAGAGGCAAGCGGAAUUCCUGGUGUAGCGGUGAAAUGCGUAGAUAUCAGGAGGAACACCCGUGGUGUAGACGGCUUGCUGGACAGUCACUGACGCUGAGGCACGAAAGCGUGGGGAGCAAACAGGAUUAGAUACCCUGGUAGUCCACGCCCUAAACGAUGCAUACUUGGUGUGGGCAGUUCAGUCUGUCCGUGCCGAAGCUAACGCGAUAAGUAUGCCGCCUGGGGAGUACGGUCGCAAGGCUGA